RNAcentral lists this long non-coding RNA (216 nucleotides) under Elaeis guineensis (African oil palm). RNAcentral's name for it is "long non-coding RNA (EGUI_LNC015582)". Lineage: Eukaryota; Viridiplantae; Streptophyta; Magnoliopsida; Arecales; Arecaceae. The record is from RNAcentral.
GGUCCAAUUUUGAGUCUGAGACUUCCUAAUAUAACUAACCCGACCAACUCCAAAACAAGUUCUAGUAACAUCAGCUACUAGGAUUGACUGGUGAACUAAAUUAACGUAAGAAAAAUGUCACAAAUAUAUUCCCACCCUCCAACCAUCGAAUCCACGUCAUAAUUUCCAGAUGGAUGGGAAUAUGGUGAGUGAAAAGGCAAAGGGGAAAAGUAGAGG